UCGGUUGGAAUCUCUACUAAU
Molecule: non-coding RNA, 21 nt
Filed under: Arabidopsis thaliana (thale cress)
Lineage: Eukaryota; Viridiplantae; Streptophyta; Magnoliopsida; Brassicales; Brassicaceae
Source: RNAcentral